Molecule: non-coding RNA, 110 nt
Organism: Acanthosepion pharaonis
Lineage: Eukaryota; Metazoa; Mollusca; Cephalopoda; Sepiida; Sepiidae
Source: the annotation of a GenBank genome assembly
UUACGGCCAUAUCACUUUGAAACUACCGGUUCUCCGUACGAUCACCAACGUUAAGCAACGUCUAGCCUGGUCAGUAUCAAGAUGAGUGAUCGCUUGGGAGUACCAGGUAG